This 253-nucleotide ribosomal RNA is filed under the name uncultured bacterium. RNAcentral's name for it is "partial 16S ribosomal RNA". It matches the Rfam family "Bacterial small subunit ribosomal RNA", at positions 524 to 776 of the family's 1533-position model. The record is from RNAcentral.
UACGGAGGGUGCAAGCGUUAUCCGGAUUCACUGGGUUUAAAGGGUGCGUAGGUGGAUUGGUAAGUCAGUGGUGAAAUCUCCGGGCUUAACCCGGAAACUGCCAUUGAUACUAUCAGUCUUGAAUACCGUGGAGGUCAGUAGAAUAUGUCAUGUAGCGGUGAAAUGCUUAGAUAUGACAUAGAAUACCAAUUGCGAAGGCAGCCCCCUGGGCUAACACUGACGCUCAGGCACGAAAGCGUGGGGAGCAAACAGG